UCUAACCGUGUCUGACUCUUGAUUUUAAGACCAGGAAAAGGCAUCAAUUGUACCAAUUUCCCCCAUUUUACUGACACGGGUGAGUGCAACAUUGCCUGGCGAUGAUGUUCCCUGUUAUAAUGACACAGGUGAGUGCAGUGGUGCCUGGAGUGGAUGUCCCUUGUUAAGUGAUACAGGUGAGUGCAACAUUGCCUGGCAAUGAUAUCCCCCAUUAUAAUGACACAGGUGAGUGCGAUGGUGCCUGGAAUGAAUGUCCCCUGUUAUAAUGGCACAGGUGGGGUGAGUGUGAUGUGCCUGGAGCACAUCCCACUGCUAAAGUGCAUCAGGCAGCAUGGCAGAGAGCAGAAGGGCCUGUGCCAGCUGUGCCCUUGCCAGUGGUCCCUGUCACCUGCAGCCACGGUCCAUCAGCAACGCUUGACAGGGCGAGGGGCUGGGAGCUUCCAGGGGGCCCAGUUUGCAGCUGAAGGAGAUAGGGUAGGGCUGGAGACCAGGCUUUGUAAGACUUGUUUUGUAAGACUUUUCAGGUAAAUCUUCUGCGUGUAAAAAUAAGGUGCCCAUCCAGGGCACAAGGCCAAGGGCAGCGAUGGAUCAGGCUGUGGUGUCACUGGGGAGAAUCACAGUCACGGAAACAAUUAGGUUGGAAAAGACCUCUGAGAUCAUCAAAUCUAACCUUUGA
This is a long non-coding RNA of Corvus hawaiiensis (hawaiian crow), 676 nucleotides long. RefSeq lists it as uncharacterized. The record is from RefSeq and is a predicted model, not a curated record. The transcript is spliced from 3 exons. Lineage: Eukaryota; Metazoa; Chordata; Aves; Passeriformes; Corvidae.